Molecule: ribosomal RNA, 791 nt
Filed under: uncultured bacterium
Lineage: Bacteria
Description: bacterial SSU rRNA
Rfam family: Bacterial small subunit ribosomal RNA
Source: RNAcentral
AGAGUUUGAACGGGCUCAGAAUCAACGCUGGCGGCGUGCCUAACACAUGCAAGUCGAACGCGAAGCCGGGCUUCGGCCCGGUGGUAGCGUGGCGCACGGGUGAGUAACACGUGGGUAAUCUGCCUUCGGGUGGGGGAUAACGGCGCGAAAGCGUCGCUAAUACCGCAUAACGCAGCGGCACCACAUGGUGACAGUUGUUAAAGGGGGGGAUCCUUUCGGGGACCUCCCGCCGGAAGAGGAGCCCGCGCUCGAUUAGCUAGUUGGUGAGGUAAUGGCUCACCAAGGCAGUGAUCGAUAGCCGGCCUGAGAGGGCGGUCGGCCACACUGGCACUGAGACACGGGCCAGACUCCUACGGGAGGCAGCAGUGGGGAAUUUUGGGCAAUGGGCGCAAGCCUGACCCAGCAACGCCGCGUGAGGGACGAAAUCCCUUCGGGAUGUAAACCUCGAAAGUUGGGGAAGAAAUCUCUACGGAUAAUACCCGUAGGGGAUGACGGUACCCAACGUAAGCCCCGGCUAACUACGUGCCAGCAGCCGCGGUAAUACGUAGGGGGCAAGCGUUGUUCGGAAUUACUGGGCGUAAAGGGCGCGUAGGCGGCACGGCACGUCGGGAGUGAAAGCCCGGGGCUCAACCCCGGAAUGUCUCUCGAGACUGCCGAGCUAGAGUGCGGAAGAGGCACCUGGAAAUUCCCAGUGUAGCGGUGAAAUGCGUAGAUAUUGGGAAGAACCACCAGAGGCGAAAGCCGGGGGUGCUGGGCCGACACUGACGCUGAAGGCGCCGAAAGCCAAGGGA